RNAcentral lists this ribosomal RNA (492 nucleotides) under uncultured bacterium. RNAcentral's name for it is "partial 16S ribosomal RNA". It matches the Rfam family "Bacterial small subunit ribosomal RNA", at positions 29 to 507 of the family's 1533-position model. The record is from RNAcentral.
AGUGAACGCUGGCGGUAGGCCUAACACAUGCAAGUCGAACGGCAGCACAGUAAGAGCUUGCUCUUACGGGUGGCGAGUGGCGGACGGGUGAGGAAUACAUCGGAAUCUACUUUUUCGUGGGGGAUAACGUAGGGAAACUUACGCUAAUACCGCAUACGACCUACGGGUGAAAGCAGGGGAUCUUCGGGCCUUGCGCGAUUGAAUGAGCCGAUGUCGGAUUAGCUAGUUGGCAGGGUAAAGGCCCACCAAGGCGACGAUCCGUAGCUGGUCUGAGAGGAUGAUCAGCCACACUGGAACUGAGACACGGUCCAGACUCCUACGGGAGGCAGCAGUGGGGAAUAUUGGACAAUGGGCGCAAGCCUGAUCCAGCCAUACCGCGUGGGUGAAGAAGGCCUUCGGGUUGUAAAGCCCUUUUGUUGGGAAAGAAAAGCAGCAGGUUAAUACCCCGCUGUUCUGACGGUACCCAAAGAAUAAGCACCGGCUAACUUCGUG